CCUUUUAAAGGAAACCGUUACGUCUACGACGAUUUUAAAGCCAACCAUUACGUCUACUACAUUGAAGACAACAGCUCAGUCAACCGUUGCGACUACAGCCGUAAAAAAAAUGUUACGACUACUACGGUACGUUAAAACCGACAACGUUUGCCGAAUCCUUUGCUUAUCGCGACAUAAAUUCAACUGUAGCCUCUGGGACGAUUCAGCCGGAUCAAAACUUGACAAAUAGCUACUUUAAUUUCGACAUCGUUGCUCCUUCCGAUCAACAGAUUCAAAUAUCUUGCUCGUCCUUGAACUUCAACACCGCUGCUAGCAGCAGUUUGAACAUGGACAGAGUUGCUGAUGGAUACGUGUAUCCAGCCCCCGUAGGAUACCCCCAAUCCAGUACCGUGUCGGACCGCAUGUAUUAUUCCAUCGGCAAUCAAAUCAUCCUGACCGCUGCGGUCGUCAACGCCGACCGGUUUAGUUGCAAGUGGACGAUGGUGCCGAAGGACGGAAGGUGAUUACGGCGAACAAUAAGAUGUGCCGUAACGCAGUGCCAACAACAGUCAACGGGACAAAUCAACCCUUAACUGGUGAUGAUGGGCCGUUAAGAAGGUGUUUCUUCAGCAUAAGCGCACUUUCUUAUGAAAAGAUUCAGAUAUCGUGCUCUAACGUCAGCACCCUUUAAAACUAGCGCUGGUAGUUCUUUGAGCGCAUGGAAUACGCGAACCCACCUGUUGUGGGCAGAGUGUAUACUUCGACAGCAUACAGUCAAAUUUACAUUUCUGCUUCACUGUCUGAAAUCAGCCACGGAGAUUAGUUUGAUUGCCAAUGGACGACACCGCGGGAAAAUAAUACGACAGAUAACAAACUCUGUCUUCAGUCAGAGGCAACAACAGCUAAUGGGACCAUUAAACCGAUUGCAGGAGAUAUUGAGCCGUCGAGAACCUUGCCCUUUCUGAUCAAAAGUUUCAAAUAUCAUGCUCUAACGUCAACCUGACUAGCGCUACUAGUUCGUUCAGCAUCUACGGAACCGUCGACGCCGAUUACUCACCCGUACCGGUAGUGAAAAGGGUGUACACUUUGGCAUACAAUAAAAUUGGCAUAUACUCCUCAUUGAGCAGUGCAGACUGGAUUAGUUGCAAAUGGACGACCACAUCCAGAAAGACGACCGAACCCAAACGUGAACAAAAAUGAGGAAUCAGGAAUCAAGAUGAUUGAAAUCAAAUAUUUAGACUUCUUUUGAUAGUUUGCAUCGACGAACAGGCGACAUCAGCCAAUGGAACCAUUCAACCCAUAGCAGGAGACAGUACGGGGCCCCAAGAAGGUGUUUCUUCUCCAUCAACGCACCUGAGAACAAGCAGAUACAUAUAUCUUGUUCCGUUGUCAACCUUAUUACUGGCGAUUUCAGUUCGUUUAGCAUGUCAGGGACACUAGACGGAAAAUAUAUUAAACCUGUAGUCGACCGCAUCUAUUAUUCUACUACCAACAUUUUCCUGAGUUCUUUCCUCGGCGUCGGAGACAUUUUGAAUUGCCACUAGAUCACCAUACCAGAGGAGAUUACUGCGGAGUUUAAAUUGUGUCUGACACAUAGUCAACUGUACCCAAUGGAACCAUUCAACCCAAAACAGGAGAUACGGUACCCCCAAGAAGCAAGAAGUUGUUACAUUAGCGCCCCUGGUGAUCAGCAGAUUCAAAUAUCCCGAAAAAUCCUGCCCUGUCGUCAAUAACACUGAACCCAACAGUUAUUUCAGUAUCAAAAUAUGGAACCAUUGACUACGCGUAUUACCAACUGGUAGUAAACAGGGUGUAUACGUCGAGAAACAAUAGAAUAUGUACAUAAACUCUCUACUAGAGCAAUACAGAUUCCAUUAGUUGCAACUGGACAACUACACCGAGAGAGAAACAGCACAGACAACAGACUCUGUCAACAACUUCAGGCGACAGUGAUGAUUGGUACCAUCCAACCCAUAUCGAGAGAUACGGGACCCGCAAGGUGGUGUAAUUUCUUAAUCAUGGCACCUUAUUACGAUCAACGAAUUCAAAUGUCUUGCUCAGUCGUUAACCUGACUCAAAUCAGCAGUUCUUUCCAAAAUAACUGGAACCAUAGACUAGGCGUACCCACCUUAGUGGGCAGAGUUUCUACAUUAAUGUUUAUUCCAGCCUUCAGAUUUCUUGCUCUGUUGUGAACAUGACUAGCCCUGGUAGUUAU
Molecule: long non-coding RNA, 2194 nt
Filed under: Daphnia pulex (common water flea)
Lineage: Eukaryota; Metazoa; Arthropoda; Branchiopoda; Diplostraca; Daphniidae
Description: uncharacterized LOC124193780
Source: RNAcentral